RNAcentral lists this unclassified non-coding RNA (342 nucleotides) under soil metagenome. RNAcentral's name for it is "partial contains 5.8S ribosomal RNA, internal transcribed spacer 2, and large subunit ribosomal RNA". The stretch from base 1 to 121 matches the Rfam family "5.8S ribosomal RNA", at positions 35 to 154 of the family's 154-position model. The record is from RNAcentral.
GAUGAAGAACGUAGCGAAAUGCGAUAAGUAAUGCGAAUUGCAGAAUUUCCGUGAGUCAUCGAAUCUUUGAACGCACAUUGCGCCCACUGGUAUUCCGGUGGGCAUGCCUGUUCGAGCGUCAUUAUCCUCCCUCAAACCCCGGGUUUGGUGUUGGACCCAAGUUGUGUGAACAACUGGUCUCAAAGACAAUGACGGCGUCCGUGGGACCCUCGGUGCAACGAGCUUUUAGGAGCACGCAUCGAGUUGCAAGGACCUUCCGGGCCGGUCUCCUUUACCAUUUUACAAGGUUGACCUCGGAUCAGGUAGGAAUACCCGCUGAACUUAAGCAUAUCAAUAAGCGGA